CAAAUGGAUUCAUUUGAAUCCAUUUCAAACAUUGUUUCAUUGUUUUU
Molecule: non-coding RNA, 47 nt
Organism: Pongo abelii (Sumatran orangutan)
Lineage: Eukaryota; Metazoa; Chordata; Mammalia; Primates; Hominidae
Source: Rfam